Molecule: ribosomal RNA, 252 nt
Filed under: uncultured bacterium
Lineage: Bacteria
Description: partial 16S ribosomal RNA
Rfam family: Bacterial small subunit ribosomal RNA
Source: RNAcentral
UACGUAGGUCCCGAGCGUUGUCCGGAUUUAUUGGGCGUAAAGCGAGCACAGGUGGUUUAUUAAGUCUGGUGUAAAAGGCAGUGGCUCAACCAUUGUAUGCAUCGGAAACUGGUAGACUUGAGUGCAGGAGAGGAGAGUGGAAUUCCAUGUGUAGCGGUGAAAUGCGUAGAUAUAUGGAGGAACACCGGUGGCGAAAGCGGCUCUCUGGCCUGUAACUGACACUGAGGCUCGAAAGCGUGGGGAGCAAACAGG